Molecule: long non-coding RNA, 1047 nt
Organism: Python bivittatus (Burmese python)
Lineage: Eukaryota; Metazoa; Chordata; Lepidosauria; Squamata; Pythonidae
Source: RefSeq, a predicted model, not a curated record
GUAGCAUUGAAGAUGUUGGUGCUGAACUCCAUGGCUUAGGAGUUCACUAUCUGUGGCAUACCUUCUCCCACUAAGAAUCUGUCUAAUCACUAAAAUGAGCAGGAGAAGCCCUCUUGAAGAUGACCCUAGUGCCAUUUUGAGUGUUUAGGAAAAAGAGGACAUUCCCAUUGUGAAUGGAAGACUUUCUGAAAAAUACUAGUUUCAUCCAUGAUAGUCCCAAGACAGAUUUCUGCAGUGAACAAUUUGGGAAGCUGCAGUCAGAAGGAGAGGGCAUCAUGAGAAAAAGUGCUGCCAUGACUGGUGAUGCUGAAUAGCACAACACUUACAUAUGGUCUUAAUGGAUAUAAUAAUAUUGGAAGAAAGGUUGUUGAGGAACAAACAUGACAGGAAUGGGCCCCUCUGGCAAGGGAAGCUCCAGUGGCUCCUUUAGAUCACAAUACCCAUACACAGUUGAUUUGUGUAUGUUCUCUUUCCAUAAAUAUACAUAUUGUUUUUAAUAGUAAAUAUAAAACAAAACAAACAUCAUCAACAACAAAAUCCACACAACACCAACAGGAAAAAAUGAUUUGUGGUUAUAUGGCAGGAAGAAAAAAAAAUAGAUAAAUUACUAGAUAUAUUAUGAUGAUAAAAAUAAACUAAAUGUGACCAAAAAGAAAAGAAAAUGAACCAAAAAGAAAAGAUCCAGAUAAUAACUAUUGAUAGCAAUAUAAAACCAAUUAAAUUGUAAAGCUUAUUAUUAAUGGUAGACCGUGUAGAAACAUAUUCCUUCAUCUUUUCAUUAUUAGAACACAAAGACUUUUUAAAGAUAGAUAACAGACAUAUCCUGGAUCCAUUCCUUAAAAUCAGGAAUCCUUUCUAUUUACAGUAUGUAAAAUUAUCCUCUUUGCUUUGUCCUUGGCUCAAUGGAGUCAAAGGUCUUUAUGAGAUGAUAAAUUCCAUAUUUUAAGAAUAUAGUUCAUCAUCCCAUUAUGGUCUUUAACCAUAAUAUUUCUUCCCCAAAAUCUACUGAUAUAGGAAGGAUUUGAAAGCAAAAAAAAAAAAAAAAAA